UGUAACUUGAAAUAACUGUGCAUUGCAUAGAGUUUUAAAUGAGUCUUGGAGAUCUUUUCAGUUGGACACCUGGUGGCAGUCAAGGAGAUAGAGAAUGGAAAGGCAGGUAGACUGUGGGCCUAAGAAAAGUUCUCAGGCUUACUUUGUCUUGUAAAAGUUCUAGUUAGCCAUUGCUCAGUUUUCGGUGGUGUUUUUUAAAUGGGGAUUGCUACCUAAUAUGGAAGUAGUCGCCACCUCCUCCCCGGUUCCAGGGCUACACUGAAGAUUAGCCUAAGUCAAAGCGGGAGAUCUGGAGGAAGUGUAAAAGGGUUGAAAGCUAAAAGCAAUGCAGAGGUGGAGAAGGGCAGAGUCGACACACCUGAGGAGAGGAACCAGCAGCUGGCCCCUCCCAGGCUGUAGGGGAAACAAGUUUAGCAGGAUUUAGCCCCAAGGAACAAAGCUGCAAACAGGAGAGGGGGAGGGAGAACAUUUGGAUUCGUCUGAAGAAUUGGGAGGCACCGGGCAGGGCAGGACUGUAAAGGGAGUGACUCUGCGAGAGCCGAGUCAUUGGCGACUUGCCUCGUUUUCUAGCGCCCCCAGACUUGGACGAGGUCAACUAGAAUACUAACUGGGUCUGCCCCGAAGCAGUCACCCUGCCCUCUUGACCCUGGAGCUCAGCCAAAGGAGGCUCCCUGGGUAGGAGGCCAAGGCCAGAAGUGACGUGGGCCUUCGCCAUUUCGCCGAAUCCCCCGGGGCUGCCCAACUCGCCCACAGCCUCCUCGGCCAUGGAAGUCGCCAGCAAUCCUGAGGCAGCGGGGACAGCCCGCUUCCAGCUGCAGGUGGGUCUUGCGCCCUUUACCCUCGCAGGGCCCGGCCCGGACGUAUUAGUGGGAUGAGGGACUGUGCUUCAGAACGUCUUUUGGCGCCCAGAGGCCUGUUCUACACGCAAAAGGCACUCUGGUACUGGUUUCGGUGGCAAUAAAAGAGUCCAAGGCUUUA
Tupaia belangeri chinensis (Chinese tree shrew) is the source of this 978-nucleotide long non-coding RNA. RefSeq lists it as uncharacterized. NCBI's taxonomy places the organism in Eukaryota, Metazoa, Chordata, Mammalia, Scandentia, Tupaiidae. The transcript is spliced from 2 exons. The record is from RefSeq and is a predicted model, not a curated record.